UACGGAGGGUGCGAGCGUUGUCCGGAAUCACUGGGCGUAAAGGGCGCGUAGGUGGCUCGUUAAGUGGCUGGUGAAAUCCCGGGGCUCAACUCCGGGGCUGCCAGUCAUACUGGCGAGCUAGAGCACGGUAGAGGCAGAUGGAAUUCCCGGUGUAGCGGUGGAAUGCGUAGAUAUCGGAAGGAACAUCAGUGGCGAAAGCGACUUCCUGGACCAAUACUGACGCUCAUGUGCGAAAGCGUGGGGAGCAAACAGG
This 253-nucleotide ribosomal RNA is filed under the name uncultured bacterium. RNAcentral describes it as "partial 16S ribosomal RNA". It matches the Rfam family "Bacterial small subunit ribosomal RNA", at positions 524 to 776 of the family's 1533-position model. The record is from RNAcentral.